RNAcentral lists this ribosomal RNA (457 nucleotides) under uncultured Anoxybacillus sp. RNAcentral describes it as "bacterial SSU rRNA". It matches the Rfam family "Bacterial small subunit ribosomal RNA", at positions 925 to 1382 of the family's 1533-position model. Lineage: Bacteria; Bacillati; Bacillota; Bacilli; Caryophanales; Anoxybacillaceae. The record is from RNAcentral.
ACAAGCGGUGGAGCAUGUGGUUUAAUUCGAAGCAACGCGAAGAACCUUACCAGGUCUUGACAUCCCCUGACAACCGAGAGAUCGGGCGUUCCCCUUCGGGGGACAGGGUGACAGGUGGUGCAUGGUUGUCGUCAGCUCGUGUCGUGAGAUGUUGGGUUAAGUCCCGCAACGAGCGCAACCCUCGACCUUAGUUGCCAGCAUUCAGUUGGGCACUCUAAGGUGACUGCCGGCUAAAAGUCGGAGGAAGGUGGGGAUGACGUCAAAUCAUCAUGCCCCUUAUGACCUGGGCUACACACGUGCUACAAUGGGCGGUACAAAGGGUCGCGAACCCGCGAGGGGGAGCCAAUCCCAUAAAGCCAGUCGUAGUCCGGAUCGUAGUCUGCAACUCGACUACGUGAAGUCGGAAUCGCUAGUAAUCGUGGAUCAGAAUGUCACGGUGAAUACGUUCCCGGGUCUU